RNAcentral lists this ribosomal RNA (253 nucleotides) under uncultured bacterium. RNAcentral's name for it is "partial 16S ribosomal RNA". It matches the Rfam family "Bacterial small subunit ribosomal RNA", at positions 524 to 776 of the family's 1533-position model. The record is from RNAcentral.
UACGUAGGGUGCGAGCGUUAAUCGGAAUUACUGGGCGUAAAGUGUGCGCAGGUGGCCGCGCAAGUCGGAUGUGAAAUCCCUCGGCUCAACCAAGGAAGUGCAUCCGAAACUGCUGAGCUUGAGUACGAAAGAGGAUCGCGGAAUUCCCGGUGUAGAGGUGAAAUUCGUAGAUAUCGGGAGGAACACCAGUGGCGAAGGCGGCUUCCUGGCCUGUUCUUGACGCUGAGGCGCGACAGCAUGGGGAGCAAACGGG